GGUGGAUGCAAAUUCACUGUACAAAAAGGAAUUAAUUUACUAAGAUCCUCGCCAGUCGUGCUAUUUUUCUCAUCCUCUACCAGCAGUGAUGUUGUCAAGUUUCACUGGCCUUCCAGCCUCCUGUGGACCACAACAAACAAGCUCCAGCCUCAAGGCCAGCCCUGAGUUCUCUGUGUCCGGAGUGCUCUUCCUCAGAUAUCUACAAUGUUCAUUCACG
This 217-nucleotide long non-coding RNA is filed under the name Mustela putorius furo (domestic ferret). Its description in RNAcentral is "lncRNA (ENSMPUG00000024926.1)". Lineage: Eukaryota; Metazoa; Chordata; Mammalia; Carnivora; Mustelidae. The record is from RNAcentral.